GGGCUUAUCUUCUUUAAUUAGGAGUCAACUGUCAUUUUUUUUUUAAAUUUUCCCUUUUUCAUUGUACUAGUUUUCUCUUCCUUCAUUAUUUUUUCUUCUUUUUCAUUAAUACUUUGGGGAAGAUAUCUGCUCCAUUUGUUCUUGUUGGGUGGAAGAUGGUGGUUGUAAUUAUUUCUUUGGUUUUCUGCUUUUGAUUCAACUUUUCAUCUGUUUAGAUUGAGAUGUUUUAGUUGCUUUGGAAUUGUUGGUUGUAAUGUUUCUUCAGGCAACUCAUUUAUGUCAUCUGUUGACCCUUUCUUUGUUGCAAAAAGUGAAGAUUUAGAUUUGAACGUUAACUUAAUUCAUCUG
RNAcentral lists this unclassified non-coding RNA (348 nucleotides) under Hevea brasiliensis (rubber tree). The record is from RNAcentral. Lineage: Eukaryota; Viridiplantae; Streptophyta; Magnoliopsida; Malpighiales; Euphorbiaceae.